CAAUAUCAAACCUUUCAAUAUUGAAUUAGAACUCUUCUAAUCUGUAAAAUAAUUUAUUUAAAUUAUUUUUACUUCUUCACUGUCCGCGAGUGACACCUAGCAGCAUAUCACGACAAUCCAGAAUGAUGAUGAAAAACGAACAUUUCCGCUAACCGUUACCUUGUGAUUAAUUCGUUCCAAAACACAACGUCCCGAUCGAACUAAGAUUAUGGUUACUUGCCAAAUCUUAUUAUUCGAUCAUAUGACUAGAAUAUCUAAAACUGACUCAAUAUGGUAACACAGCUGGAAACUCUUUCCGCACACCACGUACCCUGGCCAGA
RNAcentral lists this long non-coding RNA (320 nucleotides) under Ananas comosus (pineapple). Its description in RNAcentral is "long non-coding RNA (ACOM_LNC008336)". Lineage: Eukaryota; Viridiplantae; Streptophyta; Magnoliopsida; Poales; Bromeliaceae. The record is from RNAcentral.